RNAcentral lists this ribosomal RNA (768 nucleotides) under Durevius tuberculatus. RNAcentral's name for it is "SSU rRNA". It matches the Rfam family "Eukaryotic small subunit ribosomal RNA", at positions 477 to 1164 of the family's 1831-position model. Lineage: Eukaryota; Metazoa; Arthropoda; Insecta; Hemiptera; Reduviidae. RNAcentral also lists the same sequence under 1 other name. The record is from RNAcentral.
AAAUAACGAUACGGGACUCUAUUGAGGCCCCGUAAUCGGAAUGAGUACACUUUAAAUCCUUUAACAAGGAUCCAUUGGAGGGCAAGUCUGGUGCCAGCAGCCGCGGUAAUUCCAGCUCCAAUAGCGUAUAUUAAAGUUGUUGCGGUUAAAAAGCUCGUAGUUGGUUCUGCGUGCCGCGCUGUCGGUUUGCCGCCUGUCGGUGUAACUGGCAUGUCGCGGCAUGUCCUGUCGGUGGUGAACGGGGCCAUUGGCGCGUUGCGUAGGCUUUAAUUGCCGAAACAUGCGCCGUAUGUGUUACCGUUUACCGAUCUCUCCUACUCCGGUGCUCUUAAGUGAGUGUCGAGGUAGGCCGACACGUUCACUUUGAACAAAUUAGAGUGCUUAAAGCAGGCUGAAAUAUCUGCCUGAAUAGUGGUGCAUGGAAUGAUAAAACAGGACCUCAGUUCUAUUUUGUUGGUUUUAGGAAUAUGAGGUAAUGAUCAAUGUGGACUGGCGGGGGCAUUCGUAUUGCGACGUUAGAGGUGAAAUUCUUGGAUCGUCGCAAGACGCACUAGAGCGAAAGCAUUUGCCAAGUAUGUCUUAAUUGAUCAAGAACGAAAGUUAGAGGUUCGAAGGCGAUCAGAUACCGCCCUAGUUCUAACCAUAAACGAUGCCAGCCAGCGAUCCGCCGAUGUUCCUUUAAUGACUCGKCGGGGAGCUUCUACUCGGGAAACCAAAGCUUUUGGGUUCCGGGGGAAGUAUGGUUGCAAAGCUGAAACUUAAAGGAAU